This 261-nucleotide ribosomal RNA is filed under the name uncultured prokaryote. RNAcentral's name for it is "partial 16S ribosomal RNA". It matches the Rfam family "Bacterial small subunit ribosomal RNA", at positions 524 to 784 of the family's 1533-position model. The record is from RNAcentral.
UACGGAGGAUGCGAGCGUUAUCCGGAUUUAUUGGGUUUAAAGGGUGCGCAGGCGGGAGAUUGAGUCGGCGGUGAAAUUUUGCAGCUCAACUGUAAAAGUGCCUUCGAAACUGGCUUCCUUGAGUGUAGAUGAAGUAGGCGGAAUUUGUGGUGUAGCGGUGAAAUGCAUAGAUAUCACGAGGAACUCCGAUUGCGUAGGCAGCUUACUAAACUACUACUGACGCUCAGGCACGAAGGCGUGGGGAUCAAACAGGAUUAGAUA